CGCAUUAGCUAGUCGGCGGGGUAACGGCCCACCGAGGCGACGAUGCGUAGGGGUUCUGAGAGGAAGGUCCCCCACACUGGUACUGAGACACGGACCAGACUCCUACGGGAGGCAGCAGUGAGGAAUAUUGGUCAAUGGGCGGGAGCCUGAACCAGCCAAGUCGCGUGAGGGAAGACGGUCCUAUGGAUUGUAAACCUCUUUUGCCGGGGAGCAACGGGGUCCUUGCGAGGGCCUAAUGAGAGUACCCGGAGAAAAAGCAUCGGCUAACUCCGUGCCAGCAGCCGCGGUAAUACGGAGGAUGCGAGCGUUAUCCGGAUUUAUUGGGUUUAAAGGGUGCGUAGGCGGGCUGUUAAGUCAGCGGUCAAAUGUCGGGGCUCAACCCCGGCCUGCCGUUGAAACUGGCGGCCUCGAGUGGGCGAGAAGUAUGCGGAAUGCGUGGUGUAGCGGUGAAAUGCAUAGAUAUCACGCAGAACUCCGAUUGCGAAGGCAGCAUACCGGCGCCCUACUGACGCUGAGGCACGAAAGCGUGGGUAUCGAACAGGAUUAGAUACCCUGGUAGUCCACGCAGUAAACGAUGAAUGCUAGCUGUCCGGUUCUACGGGACUGGGUGGC
RNAcentral lists this ribosomal RNA (612 nucleotides) under uncultured bacterium. RNAcentral describes it as "bacterial SSU rRNA". It matches the Rfam family "Bacterial small subunit ribosomal RNA", at positions 237 to 847 of the family's 1533-position model. The record is from RNAcentral.